RNAcentral lists this ribosomal RNA (440 nucleotides) under uncultured bacterium. Its description in RNAcentral is "partial 16S ribosomal RNA". It matches the Rfam family "Bacterial small subunit ribosomal RNA", at positions 338 to 795 of the family's 1533-position model. The record is from RNAcentral.
CCUACGGGGUGCAGCAGUGGGGAAUAUUGCACAAUGGGGGAAACCCUGAUGCAGCGACGCCGCGUGAGUGAAGAAGUAAUUCGUUAUGUAAAGCUCUAUCAGCAGGGAAGAAAAUGACGGUACCUGAGUAAGAAGCCCCGGCUAACUACGUGCCAGCAGCCGCGGUAAUACGUAGGGGGCAAGCGUUAUCCGGAUUUACUGGGUGGAAAGGGAGCGUAGACGGCAGUGCAAGUCUGGAGUGAAAGGCGGGGGCUCAACCCCCGGACUGCUCUGGAAACUGUACGGCUGGAGUGCAGGAGAGGUAAGUGGAAUUCCUAGUGUAGCGGUGAAAUGCGUAGAUAUUAGGAGGAACACCAGUGGCGAAGGCGGCUUACUGGACUGUAACUGACGUUGAGGCUCGAAAGCGUGGGGAGCAAACAGGAUUAGAUACCCCUGUAGUC